Molecule: small nuclear RNA, 150 nt
Filed under: Moschus moschiferus (Siberian musk deer)
Lineage: Eukaryota; Metazoa; Chordata; Mammalia; Artiodactyla; Moschidae
Description: U1 spliceosomal RNA (ENSMMSG00000016769.1)
Rfam family: U1 spliceosomal RNA
About the family: U1 is a small nuclear RNA (snRNA) component of the spliceosome (involved in pre-mRNA splicing). Its 5' end forms complementary base pairs with the 5' splice junction, thus defining the 5' donor site of an intron.
Source: Rfam by way of RNAcentral
AUGUUUACUCUGCGAGGGAAACACUAUGAUCACGAAGGUGGUUUUGCUAGGGGGAGGCUUAUCCAUUGUGCUCUGGAUGUACUGACCGCUGCGGGGAAACUCGACUGCAUAAUUUGUGAUAGUGGGUCAUUGCGUUCUUGUUUUCCUCUG